RNAcentral lists this non-coding RNA (29 nucleotides) under Rattus norvegicus (Norway rat). Lineage: Eukaryota; Metazoa; Chordata; Mammalia; Rodentia; Muridae. The record is from RNAcentral.
UGAUUAAAGGUGUGAGCGCUGUGAUUAAU